RNAcentral lists this signal recognition particle RNA (97 nucleotides) under Geopseudomonas guangdongensis. RNAcentral describes it as "Pseudomonas guangdongensis Bacterial small signal recognition particle RNA". It matches the Rfam family "Bacterial small signal recognition particle RNA". Rfam says of the family: The signal recognition particle (SRP) is a universally conserved ribonucleoprotein involved in the co-translational targeting of proteins to membranes. Archaeal SRP consists of a 7S RNA and homologues of the eukaryotic SRP19 and SRP54 proteins. Lineage: Bacteria; Pseudomonadati; Pseudomonadota; Gammaproteobacteria; Pseudomonadales; Pseudomonadaceae. The record is from Rfam by way of RNAcentral.
CGUCGGUCCCCCCGCAACAAUCAGCCGUAAACCUGGUCAGGCCCGGAAGGGAGCAGCCAUAGCGGUGAUAUUGUGUGCCGGGGUGUGGCUGGCGGGG